AUGCACCUAAAACAUCUGGAACAGGUACUGUCUGCUGCUAAGGUUUUUACUAUGAAUGCGAGAAAACCACAUCCAUUUACCUUCUGUCAGUCCAACUGUGGCAGCCAGGAAGGAAUGGGGCAAACAGAA
This is a small nucleolar RNA of Cavia aperea (Brazilian guinea pig), 129 nucleotides long. Lineage: Eukaryota; Metazoa; Chordata; Mammalia; Rodentia; Caviidae. The record is from Ensembl.